AGGAUCAGCAUGACUGUAGUGUUCCUGGCUUAACCCUGAGAGGUUGCUGUUCCCAGUGACUAUCUAGGCUGAAGCCCAUGUAGGAUUUGAAGAGACUGAUCCAGGCUUUAUGAGUGGCUGCGACCAUGCUGUAUGUGUGUAUGUGUGUGUGUACACCGCCUAAGUGUGUUCAUUUCAGCCACAGCAAGAGUUAUGUUACAAGGAUAGCAUAGACAGCCCUGCCUAUUGCAAGAGUAAUGCAUCAGGUGUGAAACAGAUCUUUAAUGCUGUGUGAAGCAGGCUCUUUUAAGGUCCAAUUAGUAUGGUGUCACCAAUAUAUGGAUCCAUGCGAUUGAUUAUCUGUGGAGUGUCCGGAUGGUCCAGGACCCUUCAGAUUAUAUUACGAUGGAGAACAGGAAAAUUAACCAAAACCUGGGCAAGACUGCGAAUGUGUGCUACUAUCCAUCCCAGUUCUGGAGGCCGGAGUUGGAAAUCAGUUUCACUGGGCACACAUGGAGGUGUUUGAAGGGCUGCCCGUGCCAGAGGCUCUCAGGGAGAAUCCCUUCCUUGUCUGUUCCAGCUCUACCUCCUCCUCUGCUGUGUGAGUAAAACCUCCCUCGGCCUCUUUGAUUAGGAUAAGGUGUAUUUAGUGUCUAGCAGGACAAUCCAGGAAAUUCUUCCCAUCUCAAGAUCCCUAACUUGAUCCCUUCUGCAAAGACCUGCUUUCACUCCCAUCUGCAAACACCAUUUCCGGGUUCCAGGGAUAAGCCCUGACAUCUGUGGGUGGCCGUUAUUCAGUUACCGACAGUGUGGCAUGAUGAAAAUGAAGUGUUAAAACAAGGACUGCAGUAUUGUUUAUUCCAGCAAAUGGUGAGUGGUCCAUCCUUCUCCAAGCCCUUUCUCUUCUUCUUCUCAUGGUCUCUGGCAUCUGGGAGAGUCCACGUGGCCUGGGUUGGGCUAACAGAUACCAGCAGAAGUGAUGCGUACAACUUCCGGCAACCUAGGUGCACUUGUCUCGCCCUCCCUGGGAGCAGAUCCAUCCUCAAACCUGCAGACAAGGAUAAUGCUGUAGUGGGUACUGAGAAAAAAAAAAAAAAAAAAAAGAAGGAACCUAAAGGAAAUGUUGGAGCAGAAAUACAUUUCUAUCUUAUUCAAGCUGGUAUAUUUUGGACUUCUGUUGCUACAACAGUUUCAUCUUUAUCCUAACGAAUACCCAUACAUGUAUUAGUAAAAAUAUAAAGGUGUCCAGGGAAUAAUGUCAGACUGAGGAGAAUGGGGCUUGGGGGAAGACGGGUGGCAAGAGGAUGUGUAAGGAAUACACAGUUGUAUCUGCAAAAUGUUUUCACUCUUAAGUUCAGUGGCAAACUAACGGAUGUUCUUUAUAUUAUUCUCUAUGCUUUUUUCAAUAUCUGAUUUAUUUUGCUUUAAAAAUCUAUACUAAUAGUGGAUGAGAAAAUAAAUGUCAUAGAAGGGGUAAAUGAUAACAAAUUAUUUGGAUAAAUCACAGAUAAAAGGCUGUUUGACUGCACUGAGCUUUUUCUGGAACACUGCUUGCUUCAUAGGACGAUAAUAAGAAUGAAUCAUGUGUAUUAGAUUUCUUCCCAGGGUGAUCAAGGGUGAGAAUUUGCCCUGCGGGGAAUAAUGUGCUCUAAAUCCAUAUAUUUCCUAUACUUUUAGAUACAAAGACAAAGAAACAGGCAAAGAAACAUCUCUGACAUCAAGAUCAGGAAGUCACAGAGAGUACUUGAGUACACAUUCAGAAGUUUCAAGGAUUUUCUGUUCGUUUAUUAAACCUUAACAUUUGCUGUACAAGUUUUCAACAGGCCAAGGUUAAGUGAAGAAUGAAAAUAAUGUUUAACUCCAUUACAAAAGAGGAGGCUUUUGAUACAGACUUCAUAAUGUUCUUUGAGGAAGCAGGUAUAUGAGGUUUGUACAUUGAAUGGAUGUUCUAGAUUGAGCAAAAUACCCUCUAUGCACUCUCCUGCAGAGAGUGUGGGUGAAAUAGAAAUGUAUUUCUGGAUAGAAAGAGCAAUGUAUCACAUGCAUUCUGAAGAAGUCUAGCUGAGCAAAACCUUAAGAUUUCCUGUUGUUGCUGGACCGUAGACAUCAAUAUGACCGCUUAGCAUAAAGAUAAAGGUACCUCAGGGCCCAAGAAUAAAAAUUCCAUCGAGCACAACUCAGCGCUCUGAAAAUCUAGAUUUCCCUAAUCCCAGAGGGUGAGAGCCAAGGAGGAGCUCGUCCUGCCCAUUCCUGCCUUCCUCUAUCCCUGGCACUCACACCACAAGUUUGCUCUACUCUUAAACAAAAGCACCUGUGUUUUAAAAUUUUCAUUUUAAGUUCUGGGGUACAUGUGUAGGACAUGCAGGUUUGUUACAUAGGUAAACUUGUGCCAUGGUGGUUUGCUGCACCCAUCAACCCAUCACCUAGGUAUUAAACCGCACAUGCAUUAGCCAUUUGUCCUAAUGCUCUCCCUCCUGCCAACCCCCCACCCCCGACAGGUCCCAGUGUGUGUUGUUCCCCUCCCUGUGUCCAUGUGUUCUUACUGUUCAGCUCCCACUUAUGAGUGAGAACAUGCAGUGUUUGGUUUUCUGUUCCUGUGUUAGUUUGCUGAGGGUGAUGCCUUCCAGCUCCAUCCAUGUUCCUGCAAAGGACAUGAUCUCAUUCUUUUUUAUGGCUGCAUAGUAUUCCAUGGUAUAUAUGCAUCACAUUUUCUUUAUUCAUUCUAUCAUUGAUGGGCAUUUGGGUUGGUUCCAUGUCUUUGCUAUAGUGAAGAGUGCUACAAUGAACAUACACCUAUUUUUUUUUAACCCACAUUAUUUAUAGUCUUGUUUUCAGUAUUUUGGUAGGCAGUGCCUGGUCUGCUCCUCUCCUCCCUUCUCUGAGUUGCCCUUUUCCUCAAUUCUCUUUUACCAACUUUCCUUUUGCGAUCGUCUCUACUCUCCUUUUCUCUAUACUUCCCCUUCUUUUUCUCUUGGCCUCGACUUCUGAAUCCUGUGACAAUGGCGUGGGGGGUUUGGUGGAGAGAGGGGAACUAAAAGUGGAAAUGAGACACUGGGGAAUAAUCACAAGAAAGGAAACAAGACUUCCCAACUCUCCCCGGCUGUGAGCCCCACGACAUGGUUUCCACAUGAGCCUUCUCCCCACUUUUGGCUGCCUCCCUGACACGUUUCCAAGGAGACCUUUCCAAGUCAAGGCCGCAGCUCCCAAAGUAUUGAAGCACAAACCCAGCCCACUUCCAAUAAAUCAUCCUCUACAUACAGUUGUCUGGUUUGUAUCAGAAUGUCCUUGGGAUUCCUGUAAUGCUUGUCUCCAGAGUCACUUAGCCAGCAUUUUGGCUAGUUUUUGUUUUUGUUUUUUUUUUUCUGAUACUCUGGUUGCAUAAAGUUAAACAGGGUUUGCAAAAUGUAAUUUCAUUAUAUGAACAACAAGUUCUAUACACUGAUGAAUAACUUGGUUUUAUGUGGGCACUUAAUUCCCAGUCUAGUGCUAAGUCUUUAUCUUAAUUUUAACUUUUAAGGCAAACAAUGCAAGGCAUCAUCUUUUGAGUGGGAAAGAGGAAAAGCAUUUUAAUGAAUGAGUUCUUGGUUGGGCGCAGUGGCUCACUCCUGUAAUCCCAGCACUUUUGGAGACUGAGGCAGGAGGAUCGCUUGAGCUCGGGAGUUCAAGACCAGCCUGGGAAACAUGGUGAAACCCCGCCUCUACACAAAAAUUAAAAAAUUAGCCGGGGAGGGGGAUUGAUUGUGUGCAUUUGCAGCUGAGCUGCAGUGAGUCCCAGCUACUCGGGAGGCUGAGGGGGGAAGAUUGUUUGAGCCUAGGAGGGUGAGGCUGCAGUGACUUAUGAUCCUGCCACUGCACUCCAGCCUGGGCAAUAGAGUGAGACUCUCCAAAAAAAGAAAAAUAGAAUGAAUAAUGAAUGAGUUCUUGAAAGGAGAGAUGUAGCUGGGCACAGUGGCUCACAUGCUUGUAAUCCCAGCACUUUGGGAGGAUAAAGCAUGUGCAUCACCUGAGGUCAGGCAUGGUGGCGGGUGCCUGUAAUCCCAGCUACUUGGGAGGCUGAGGCAGGAGAAUUGCUUGAACCCAGGAGGCUGAGGUUGCAGUGAGCCGAGAUCACACCACUGCACUCCGGCCUGGGUUACAAGAGUGAAACUCUGCCAAAAAGAAAGAAAGAAAGAGAGAGACAGAGACAGAGAGAGAGAGAAAAGAAGGAAGGAAGGAAGGAAGGAAGGAAGGAAGGAAGGUAGGAAGGAAGGGAGAGAGAGAGAGAAAGAAAGAAAGGAGAGAUGUGAAAAAUAUGUUUAAGAAUUUCUCAUACAUUCAUGUCUGAAAGGAAUCAUUUUAUUCAUCCCUCUUUCAUGGAUGAAGACAUUGAGGCCCAGGUGUGGUAAAAUUUGCCCGAAGUAGCCCGUGAGUCCGUGAGAUGUCCUGCUCCCAUCUGGAGAGGAGGAGACACGCACAGCCGUCUCCACCACAAGCCGGAUUCCAGACACUGAUCCUGCCACCACCACCCCAGUCUUCUGUCUGUCCCUCUCAGCAUGGCAGUCAUGUACCCUGGCACAAUUUCUGUGAAAAUCCCCUAAACCAAGCUUGUCUAACCUGUGACCCACAGGCCGCAUGCAGCCCAGGAUGGCUUUGAAUGCAGCUGAACACACAUUUGUAAACUUUCCUAAAACAUGAAUUUUUUCGCAUUUAUUUUUUCUUAUCGGCUUUCAUUAGUGUUAGUGUAUUUUGAGUGUGACCCAAGACAAUUCUUCUUCUUCCAAUGUGGCCAGGGAAGCCAAAAGAUUGGACACCCCUGCCCUAACCCCACAAGGUACCAGGGCACCCCGUACUUAGUGCCUUCUAAUGCCUAUGGCCCACGUGGUACUUUGGGGCUGUUUACUUGCCAGCCUCACACUCUGAACUGUGAAUUCUUUGUGGACAGGGUUUUUCUUUCGCUUGAAUUGCAUGAUGUAGGGCUCCCCAUAGGGCCUGGCACCUCACAGAUGCUGACUAUAUAUUUGUUGAAGGCUUGGAUCCAGGUUCUCUGACCUCCCAGAGCAGGGCCCUUGCCUUUAUGCCAGGAACCUGCAAAACAGUGCCCUUUUAUUGCAGAUAGUGCUUUCUUUCUCCUGGGUGGUUUCGUAGGCAAAGAGAUAUAUUGUCUGUUUUAGAGCUUUAGCCUUGCCUCAGUAGAGAUAAAAACUCCACUAUGACUCUGCUGUGGCUACGGGCAGCUUAGAGAAUGUUGGAACUUCAGGCAGAGGGCUCCGGGCAGCUGAAUGUUACAUGGUGUUCACAUACUACAUACUACAUGCUACAUAUUCCAUGCUACUACUUAAAUAACUUAAAAAUGUUAUUCUAGGUCGGGCAUGGUGGCUCACGCCUGUAAUGCCAGCAUUUUGGGAGGCCAAGGCAGGCGGAUCACCUGAGGUCAGGAGUUCGAGACCAGCCUGGACAACAUGAUGAAACCCCGUCUCUACUAAAAAUACAAAAUUACCUAGGAGUGGUGGAGGGCUCCUGUAAUCCCAGCUACCUGGGAGGCUGAGGCAGGAGAAUCGCUUGAACCUGGGAGGCGGAGGUUGCAGUGAGCCGAGACGGUGCCAUUGCACUCCAGCCUGGGCAACAAGAGUGAAACUCUGUCUCAAAAAAAAAAAUGUUAUUCUACUUGGUAGGACACUGGAAAUCGUCUGAUAUUUUCUGGCAUUCUGGCAUUUUAUCUAUGUCAGCUACUUAUCCUAAAUUAUGAUGUCAAUGGAAUAAUUUUUGAUGAAAUUUAUUUAUUUUUUUAUGAGACAGCGUCUUGCUCUGUCACUGAGACUGGAGUGCAGUGGCACAAUCUUGGCUCACUGCGACCUCCGCCUCUCAGGUUCAAGCAAUUCUCCUGCCUCAGCCUCCUGAGUAGCUGGGACUACAGGCAUGCACCACCACGCCCAGCUAAUAUUUGUAUUUUUAGUAGAGAUGGGGUUUCACCAUGUUGGCCAGGAUGAUCUCAAUCUCUUGAACUCGUGAUCCACCCUCCUCGGUCUCCCAAAGUGCUGGGAUUACAGGCGUGAGCCACCACAACCGGCUGGUGAAAUGUAUUAUUAAAGUGGCUUCUUAUCCUUCCUAGUUUUUAAAUGUCUCUGUGUAGUAUUUUACUGUGUUUAGGUUCCUCAAAACAUUUUAGAACCUGACAAUUCCUCCGCAAUUAUCUAAGCUUCCUGUAUGCAGGAGGAAACUGAGGCACGGGACGCUUCAGGGUCGGCUGUGUCUGUGCCCACUGGCCCAGCCCGCCUGCUGUCUGUUCUGCCUCCUGCCUCUGCUCUCCCCAGCACCGACACUGCUGGCCAUGUGUCAGUCAACCUGGGACUCUGCGUUCUAAUUAUUGCAAAUUAGUAAUCUACAUGGAAUGCCACGCCUAACUAUAUCAAUGUUAUCAAUGUGUUCUAUGUGUAAUUAUUAAGAACGUCUCAUUUUUUCCUUCCUCCCUCCCUCCCUCCCUCCCUCCCUCCCUCCCUCCCUCCCUCCCUCCCUUCCUUCCUUCCUUCCUUCCUUCCUUCCUCCCUCCCUUCCUCCCUCCCUCCCUUUUUGAGACUGGGUCUCUCUCUGUCACCCAGCCUGGAGUGCAAUGGCUUGAUCAUAACUCACUGUAACCUCGAGCUCUUGGGCUCAAGUGAUUCUCCCACCUUGGUCUCCCAAGUAGCUGGGACUACAAGUGUGCACUGCCACACUGGGCUAAUAUUUUUUACUUUGUCGUGGAGACAGAGUCUCGCCAUGUUACCCAUCCUGCUGGGCUCAAGGGAGCCUCUCGUCUCGGCCUCCUAAAGUGCUGGGUUUACAGGCAUGAGGCACCACACUCAGCCGGAAUAUGUUAUUUUCCGUCUGGCUUAGGUAAGACAGUAAUUACUUAUUUUGCUGUUUGUUUUUUCAGGGCUGUAGUACUGGGCUACCUUUAUUCCAAAAACAAUAAAAAGGCAACUAUGACAAUACAGCAAUCCAUGGCUUAUUCUCUUCAAUGUAACUGACUGUGAAUGAGUCUCCACCACAUUCAAUGCGCUGUGAUGGCUCCUUAGAGCUACAGAAGUGGCUGGAAGGGGAUUUUAUUGUUGACAAAGCGGCUAAUCAGCUCUCUUUGCCCUUCCCCACGGUACUACCAUUCAGCUCAUGGCAUGAAGCUAAUUUUUCCAAAACAAAAUGAAAGAUACCACCUAAAAGUGAGAGGACGUAUUGUAGUAGAGGAAGGGCUGGCUGGGCACCUAUCAUCUAUGCCCCCCAGCCUGGAGGGGUGUUUAAGGUUUGAAACGUGCCACACUCAUGGAAUACUGCACUUGCAGCCGGUUCACCGAAGCCAAGUUUUCCCACUUGUCCUUGAAGUUAAAAUUCAAUGAAAGCAUUCUCGUUGUAUCAGAGUCACAUUUUCUUUUUUCUUUUCUUUUAUAUAUAUAUAUUAUAUAUAUAUAUAAAAUAUAUAUAUAUUUUAUUAUUAUACUUUAAGUUCUAGGGUACAUGUGCACAACGUGCAGAUUUGUUACAUAUGUAUACAUGUGCCAUGUUGGUGUGCUGCACCCAUUAACUCGUCAUUUACAUUAGGUAUUUCUCCUAAUGCUCUCCCUCCCCCAUCUCCCCACCCCACAACAGGCCCUGGUGUGUGAUGUUCCCCUUCCUGUGUCCAAGUGUUCUCAUUGUUCAAUUCCCACAUGGAUGAAGCUGGAAACCAUCAUUCUCAGCAAACUAUCGCAAGGACAAAAAACCAGAGUCACAUUUUCAGUGGGGAGCCAGCUUAGCCAGGUGACGUCUGACGUCACCGAAUAAUCAAAAUGGUGACAAUUGCAUUUAGCUGGUCACAGAGAUAGAUCCCUAAGGUUAUGUCAAUACCACUCCAUGUUCUCAAAGCCCCCAAGAGGCAAGAAUCUAAGUGAAAUAAACCAGCAAGUCCUUGUCUGGACUUGCAGGAGAGAACUGAGGGGCUGCCUGAGGCUCUGUGUUCAGCGCCUCACCUCGGAUGAUCUUAGGAUGGUGAGGGUCAGUGACACUGCAAGCCAUGAGUCCUUUGGCAGUGGGUCCGUGGCCCUGCUGAAUGGCAGGCGCAUGGCCACCUUCCUGAAGAUUGCAAAUUGGAAACAGGGCGAGUCUCCACGAUAACAUCUAGGUUACAGCAUUGUAAAAUGUCCCCAAUUAUCUUGACAAAUGGAAGUUGGUGUGAAUGACUUAUGAGGACACGAUAUUUUUGUAGAGAAGGGAGAGUUCCAGCAAUAGGAACGAGCUGUGCCUUGCUCUUGGGAAACCCCACCCUGUUUUGGGGGCCUUAGGUUGCUAUGAAAUGGCAGGGUUUGAUUGCUGUUGAUAGCAGGAAAGUCUGACCCAUGACUAAGGGAAUAAAGUAGAGAAAACGCAAUAAGCAGCCAUCCCAGAAAACCAGUGCUCAUAAAAGUGCUUGUUACUGGACACUGAUUUUGGCUUCACAUUGACUACAAGUGGACCUAAACCAGUCAGUAAAAUGGUGUUAGCUGCUUUGUUGUUUCAUGUAUUUAUUCGAUACAUAUUUAUUGAAUGCAUAUUGUGUGAAGCGUUGUUCUAAACUCUGGCUAUAACAAAGUAGAAAAAGGAAAAUCCCUGAUCUCACUGAGUUUGCUAAAUAAAUAUAAAUUCAUUUUGACCUUUGCAUAUUUCUAUGUGAGUCUAGCAAGUGGUCCUGGGAUGGAAUGAAGUACAACAUGGAUAUGGCACAUCAGUUUAUAUCCUGCAGACUCAAGGAUUAGAGAACUCUCUAAAAUAUAUCCGGAGUACCACUGAAAGCUACACAUCUGUUUUUUUGGUAAAUUCAAAUCAAGUUACAAUACUCUUUAUACAAUGUGAUCUCAUUUUGCUAACCUAUAUAUACACAGAGGGGAAAAAAAGCACCCAAAGGCUGUACACUUAAAUUUUUAAAGCUGCCAUGGGAUAAUGGGGACAUUUUAUUUUUCUCUUUGGGUUUGUCUCUGUUUUCCAAGUUUAAUAUGCUGAAUGGGCUUUGCUUUUAACCAGAAAACACUCUUUAAAGACUGUAGUUUUUGCUUAUUAAUUAAAAAUGGUAUUUAGCAUUUGCAAAUAAUUUCAGGAUUAUUACUUAUUCCUUGCCAGUUCCCUCAAAUAUUAGAUAAGUAAGGUGACCCUGAUUUGCUGGUUCAUGUACUAGAACCAUGAACAGAACUGGAAUUCACAAGCUUAAAAAUUUUAGGCUGCCCACGUGAUUCAUUCAACUGCAUUCUUCCCAUAUGAGCAAAAUGAAUGCUAACUCCCUUCUGUGGGUUUGGCCUCUUGCAAAAGCAGGGCACUGUGCAAGGGUUGGGGUUUAAGUCAUUUAUUUGGGAAGUGAUCCUGACAAGUACAGUGAAGGAGUGGGAAGGAAGGUGGGAAGGAAAGCAAGGAAGAGAGGGUUUCCACUCUGAGCCACUGGGCGCAGUCCUGCUGUGGAGCAAAUAUGCAGAGAGUAUCUGACAAUUGUCUCCCCGCAGCAGGGAAGCUGAGACAUUAUAUAUCCACCAACCUCCGUCCCUUGUUGGUUGGGGGCUGCUCCUAUUAAUUCCUUAGCAUUUCCUGCAUGUCCCAUGUGCAGGAUAAGCAAUCUGCUGUGGUCAGAGAAAGACCUAUGGUAUAUAAGAAUUUGACAUCAUAAUAGAAAUAGGCAUCUAUCCAAAGCCUCAUUUAUUUCAGAAAAAAAGAAAAAAAAAAAACAACACGGAGUGAUGAUUGCCUAUCAGGUACAUGAAACCGUGAACCAUGACCAUGUUAAAUGGAGAACCCUACCACAGGGAGAGACCCAGUCCUUGAGAAGGGCCUUCAGCCGCACACUGAAGCUGCAGGAGACCUGUCAGGCGAACUAAGGAGACACGAGUUAGAGACGCUGCUGUAACAAAUACGUCUAAAGGCUGGGUGAAGUGGCUCACACCUGUAAUGCCAGUGCUUUGGGAGACCGAGGUGAGCCGAUCACUUGAGGUCAGGAGUUUGAGUCCAGUUGGCCAACAUGGUGAAACCCCAUCUCUACUAAAAAUACAAAGAUUAGCCUGGUGUGGUGGCAGGCGCCUGUAAUCCCAGCUUCUCAGGAGGCUGAGGCAGAAGAAUCACUUGAACCCGGGAGGCAGAGGUUGCAGUGAGCUGAGGUCGUGCCACUGUACUGCAGCCUGUGCAACAGAGCGAGACUCUGUCUCACAACAAAACAAACCUCUAAAGUUGCAGUGGCUUAACAUCAUCACAGUUUCUUUUUUGCUCUUAUAAACUGUUUUUCAGGUCACGCAAUUUUGCAAGACAGCUCUUCCUCAAAUUUUGUCUGUGUUCUCCUAUCUCAGGGCCCUCUGCUUCUUAGUCAGACAGGGAAAAGAGGUUGUGGAAGGAUUUGGGUUUAAGUCAUUUAAAGGAUGGGGACACAGUGUGGGAUAUUGUGUGGCCCAGCCAGUAGUGAGGAUGCCACGUAGACACAUAUUCCAUUUCCCAAAGCUGAUUCAUGAGUCUGCAACUAACUGCACAGGAAGUCUGGCCUUCCCACAUGCUCAGGGAGAGAAGGAAGUUGGGGAUCCUGUAGCAGUACUCUGAGGGGCUCCCUGUUUCCUUGUCUGAAUGCAUGGAAGCUCUGGGAACAUCUGGUACUUACUGGAUACUAUAUUGUUUAGCAAAUGAGUUUGAGGCCGGGCGCGGUGGCUCACGCCUGUAAUCCCAGCACUUUGGGAGGCCGAGGUAGGCGGAUCAUGAGGUCAGGAGAUCGAGACUAUCGUGGCUAACAUGGUGAAACCCCCCUCUACUAAAAAUACAAAAAAAUAGCCGGGCAUGGUGGUGGGUGCCUAUAGUCUCAGCUACUUGGGAUGCUGAGGCAGGAGAAUCGCUUGAACUCAGAGGCAGAGGUUGCUGUGAGCCGAGAUAGCACCACUGCACUCCAGCCUGGGCGACAGAGCAAGGCUCCAUCUCAAAAAAAAAAAAAAAAAAAAGUAAAUAAAUAAAAAGAGAGUUUGAGUUUUUUAUGUAGCCGACUUCAGGUGCAAAUGGUUCAUAUUGAGGCACACAGAAGAGACACCAUGGUACACAGCAGCACUUGCUUCCGGCUGAGAAUCAGAACAACCAAGACCAAAUUCUGGACCCGCUCUCAACCGAAUAUGUGAUUAGGCACACGAUAGCCUCUUGAUCUGAAAAAUACUAAAGUCUCUUUUAUCAGAGCCCACAAUUGUUAAAUAUUUUUAAAAGAAUAUAUAUUUUUACAUGUAUAUAUACAUACACAACAUGCAUGGCAGCGUAAGAAGCUACACGCAUAUAACAAGGCCAGGUGCAGUUAGAAAUGGAACUAGGAUGUGCACUUCUGAGCAUUCUGUUGUCUUGUUGAACUCCUCUUUCUGUCUAUCAAUCUUUCCAUUAUCUUUCUCCCGCCUCGGAAAAGCAGUGCAUUAGCGCCGUGGAUCUCUGGCUGGCCAGGCAGGUGUGUGUCGUCAGGGGUGAGUGGGUGCUGGCAGCAGCUGUGGGUGAAAUCCCAUUCUAGGUAGACUGGGGUAGAGGAAACAACACAGGUCUUGUUGUGAAAUCCAAAGAAAUCGCAGUCCUGUAGUCAAUCUUGUCUCACCCGCAGGCCAUAAGCGUUUCUGAGUUCUACUCUUUCUAGGGCGAGAGGGGCUUUUGGCUGUUUAGUAGACACCGGAGACCAGUAAAGCGCAUACCGAUUAGAAGGCUGCAUUUUCUAGCUAACAAAACAGCACACGGGGCCAAAGAACAGGGAAGUCUUGUUUCAGCAAGGUUGGCACAGUCAAAGAAGUAGAGUGAAGGACCAUGAUUUCAGGAAACUCAGCUGAAAGAAUUGGAGAUUGUUAUAGAAACUGCUAUCCAUCCACAGCCUUAUUUAUUUCAGAAAAAAAGACUGGAUGAUGGUUUCCUAUCAGGUACAUAAAACAAAGGCCAUGUUAAAUGGUUUCGGUGACUUUUUUUAUUCUUCCUUUACGUAUUCAUUUUUCUGAGAUGUGCUGAUUUACUGGUCACAGAUCAGAAUUUAUGUUAGACAUGGGGUCACCUCUCCUGGCUGCUUCUAUCUGGUCAGAGGAAGCCUAUUAGGUCCAGCCAGCCCUCAAGAAGGGCUGCCAUGUGUUCACCUGGAUUGUUCUGAGAAACUGUUGAUAAAACAAUGACCCAUUGGACUCCUAUCUCCAGAGACACUGUUUUCUGAAUUAAAGCAAUAAUAGUGGAAACUAAGUUUCUAUCUUUUAGGCAUCGCAAAUGACUGAAAUAUGCAAUGAUUUCCCAUAACUAAACAAGAGGUCAUGAGCUCCAAUGAGGAAUAAAAAGCUGAGAUAGAUGUAGCAUGUGCUAAGUGCUCUUCUAGACAUUUUACAUACGUCAACUCAUUAUUUCUCCCAACUGCACUACAGGUAGGCACUAUUAUCGUUCCCAUUUCAUAGAAAUGUAAACAGGUGAGACCAGGUAAUUUUCCUGGAGGAACUACUUGAUCUUCCUAUAUUAAUAAAUUGCCAUUUCAUGUUAUUGCGUUGAAAAGAGCACUACCUAAAACAGAAUGAUGAUUUUUUUUUUCACCAAAGCAUUGAAAAGUUUGGAGUCAUGAAAUUUGAUCAAAAGUAUACAGAGACUCUAGUCAGAUCACACUGGUUGAUAUACGGGAAGACUUUUUGUUUACUCUUUUAAUCAACAAAUAUAAUAAUUAUCUACCCUGUACUGGCAUCUGAGCUGCAAGGAUGAAUAUGCUUCAAGGAGCUGUUAGGCAGUGGGGAAAAAGAAGAUCUGCAAAUGUACCCUUAUGGCUGGGUGUGGUGGCUCACACACCUGUUACCCCUGCACCCUGCAUUUUGGGAGGCUAGUGGGGAAGAUCGCCUGAGCCCAGGAGUUUGAGACCAGCCUGGGCAACAUAGUGAGACUUCAUCUCUAUUAUUUAUUUACCGUGAAAUAGAAUAAAAGCUACACAUAAAAUAUGUGGAAGUAGGGAAGGGCAAAGUGGAAGAUUGAUAGUAAUAGCUGGGACUUAUCACUUCUUCUGGGUUAAUCCUUUCAACCCUUACAAAACCUCUAUGAUGCAGGUACUAUGAUUAUCCCAACUUAAGACACAAGGAAACUGAGGUAGCGAGAGGUUCAAUAGUAGGUCCAGGGCUCCCGGGAGAGGCAAUCCACCGUGGCCCUGAGUGUCUCUUCCUCAUCCUGCAGGUGUGCGUGCCUGAUGGCCCUUUAUCUGGGCUGUGUCUUGGGGCGGCAGCAAGCAGCCUUGAAGGAUGAGGUAGCAUUUUUCCUUCUGGACAAAGAGAAGCCUUUUUUUCACCUUAAAAAAAUUUAUUUUUAUAGAUUUGGGGAUACAUGUGCUGGUUUGUUACAUGGAUUUAUUACAUAAUGCAAGAUUUGAGUUUCUAGUGUACCCAUCACCCAAAUAGUGAACAUUAUACCCAAUAGGUAAUUUUUCAACCCUCAUCCCCCCAUCCUGCCCUCCACUCUUUUGGGUUCCUCAAUGUCAAUUAUUUACCUCUGUGUAUUCAUGUGUACCCCUUGUUUUCCUCCUACUUGUAAGCGAUAACAUUCAAUAUUUGACUUUCUGAUUCUGAGUUAUUUCAAUUAGAACAAUGGCCUUCAACUCCAUCCAUAUUGCUUCGAAAGACAUGAUCUUAAUCUUUUUUAUGGCUGCAUAGUAUUCCAUGGUGUAUAUGUUUCACAUUUUCUUUUUUUUUUUUUUAACUUUUAAGUUCGGGGUACAUGUGCAGGUUUGUUACAUUGGCAAACUUGUGCUAUGGGAGUUUGUUGUACAGAUUAUUUCAUUAAGUCUAGUACCCAUUAGUUAUUUUUCCUGAUCCUCUCCCUCCUCCAGCCUUCCACUCUCCAAUAGGCCUCAAUGUCUGUUGUUACCUCUUUGUGUCCACGUAUUCUCAUCUCUUAGCUCCUGCUUAUAAGUCAGAACAUGCAGUAUUUAAUUUUCUGUUCCUGCAUUAGUUUGCUAAGGAUAAUGGCCUCCAGCUACAGCCAUGUCCCUGCAAAGGACAUGAUCUCAUUAUUCUUUAUGGCUGCAUAGUGUUCCGUAGUGUGAAUUAUACCACAUUUUCUUUAUCCAGUCUAUUAUUGAUGGGCAUUUAUAAUUCAUUCAUUCAUCCAUGGACUUAGGUUGAUUCCACAUCUUUGCUAUUGUGAAUAGUACUGCGAUACACAUAUGAGAGGAAGUGUCUUUUUGAUACAACAAUUUGUUUUCCUUUGGGUAGAUACCCAGGGGUGAGAUUGCCAGGUUGAAUGAUAAUUCUGUUUUCAGUUCUUUGAGAAAUCUCCGCACUGUUUUCCACAGAGGUUGUACUAAUUUGGAUUCCCACCAACAGUGUAUGAGUGUUCCCCUUUCUCCGCAGGGAAGGCUUUGUAUUCCACUUAUUAUAAAAGCGGUGAUUUCCCAAGCUCAGGCUCAGGGUUCCUCUCCUGUAAGGUGACUGACUUUGUGCGCAGGCAUCCACGAGGAGCCGUCUACAUCACCACCAUAAGACUUGGGGGCACAGGGAACCAGCAACCGUGCAGCUCUGUCUACUGCUUUCGUCGUGAUUCACAAAGUCCUUUGUCUCUGACCCAGGAGUUCCAAGUCUUCUGCCAGCCCCUGUGAAACAGCAACAGUGAACUAGAUAGCUUGUAUGUGACAUAAAAUCUCAAUCUCUGCACAGUUCUUGACAAGGUGACAUAGCCAGUAAGUGGUGGGAACUGACUUUGAACCUGGACAGUUUGGCUUAGAAACCCACCAUCUUAAACACUACUAAUAAGGCAUCAAAGAUAGGCAACAAACUUCCUGGCAGAGUAAAGGCAGAUUUUUAAAGGCAAUGGGGUGUUUGGAGGGAAUUUUGAAGCAUGAAUGGGGAUUUAACAGAAGAAUAAGGGAGAAAGGACAUUCUAGGUAGAGGGAGUGAGGUGGACAAAGGCUGGAAGCCAGGAAGCACACAGAUGUUCUGGACACUGCACGAAGGGAGUCGUAAGACUGCAGUGCCCAGCAGAAUUUUGCUGGCUUCUGGGGUGAGAGAUGAGGUUGGAGAGACAGGCAGAGGCCAGAAAAUAAGAUGGGUGCGUGCGCCCAAUUAGUUUGUAGAAAGGCUUUUAAGAAUUAUAUUAUAGUCAAGUGGCUGGGUGCAGUGGCUCACACCUGUAAUCCCAGCACUUUGGGAGGCUGAGGCAGGUGGAUCACUUGAGGUCAGGAGAUCAAGACCAGCCUGGUCAACAUGGCGAAACCCCAUCUCUACUAAAAAUACAAAAAUUAGCCAGGUAUGAUGGCAGGCGCCUGUAAUCCCAACUACUUGGGAGGCUGAGGCAGGAGAAUCGCUCCAACCCAAAAGGCAGAGAUGGGUUCAAGCCAUUCUACAGCCUGGGCGACAGAGUGAGUCUCUGUUUCAUUAAAAACAAACAAACAAAAAAUAUAGGCAAGAAAGUGACACUAUCAGAUUUGUGUUUUUGAAAGAUCCCUUGGGAAUGUUGUGCAAGACGGAUUGGAGAAGUCAGGGAGAUCAAGUUAGAAGCAAGUGAAGUGAUCAAGUAAGAUGUAAUGAGGGCCUGAACUUUGUAGCAUGUACAGUUUAAAUGCUGAUAUUUUAAUUUAAUGCAUAAUGAUAGCAGUAAUUAGCUUGCAAUUACUCCAGCCGGAGACGUUGUAUUUUUAAUUCCCAAAUCUUGAUCUUUCUACUUUAUACAAGAAAUAGGAGAAGGUCAACUGAGUAAAGGGAUCUUAUUUCUUUCAAUUUAGACAGGAGAGACGAAUGAGGAGAAGCUGGGUCUCUGCCACCCUAAGACUGAAGUAAGCACACAUGACACUAAGAAAGAGACUCUAUCUUUCUUCAUUAUGGCAAAGAAGAAUGGAAAAUGCUCACAGGAAUUCCCAUCCAAAGCAGAGAUUCUCGAUCAUUUCUGAGCUCAGCCUUCUUGGACAGAGUAUCAUAUCCCAUAAGCACACAUAAGUUGCUUUUUCUUCUUCUCUCUUUUUUUUUUUUUUGAUGGAGUUUCGCUUUUUUGCUUUUGUUGCCCAGGCUGGAGUGCAAUGGCGUGAUCUCGGCUCACUGCAACCUCCAGCUCCAGGGUUCAAGCGAUUCUCCUGCCUCAGCCUCCCGUGUAGCUGGGAUUACAGGCAUGUGCCACCACAUCCGGCUAAUUCUUUGUAUUUUUAAUAGAGACAGGGUUUCUCCAUGUUGGUGAGGCUGGUCUUGAACUCCUGACCUCAGGUGAUCCGCCCACCUCGGUCUCCCAAAGUGCUGGGAUUACAGGCAUUCUUCUUCUCCUUUUUAAGGAAAAACUCUACUAACAACAAGAAUCAUUGUGGACACAAGCUUAGGGGUAUUGGCGAUGGUGGUGAAGACGGCGACUUUAUCCGCUUUGGUAAGGAGAUGCAGGUAUCUAUUCUUGGUUCCCAGUGUUCACAGUCUUUAAGUUUAGUUAUUGGAAAUUACAGUUCAAAGUAUUGUUGGUGAAGAUAUGCUUCACUACAUAUGGUAGGCUUAGCAAAACAAUCCACAAUAAAUAAAAUUAAUGAUAAUGAAACUAAACAAACUGUGAUUUGUUAAAAAGCAAUGAUACAGCCACUGGAAAACUUAACUUGGGCAGGAUGCCCUAAAUUGCCUAACAUCUAUUAACUCUUCCUCCUUCCUAACAGAACCCAGAGUUUAUUGAGAAAUAUAUUCUCCUCUAUACAACCAAGCCUCUUAGGAGAGGCUAGCCUAUCCCUAGCUCCAGGUGGUAGAUUCUAGUUUGCCUGAAUAAUCCAAUUCUCCUUGAUGGUGAUUGGCUUAGGAAUGGGCAGGUGACAAAAGCUCUUCUUCUGAACAUCGCAGUCUCUAAACAUAAUGCCUGGAAGUGCCUUAUCUAUCUUGCAACCUUGAGAGAUGCCAGCCUUAGGAUAAAGCUGGUGCAGAGAGGAGAAAGGGCCAAGAGGGACCCAGAGAAGCAGAGCUACCGUAACCUUGGACUUAAGUAUUGUGUAUGUGAAAAGAAGGUUUAAAAGCCAAAGGAUGGGUGCCCAUCUUUAGACCAGCUCUUGGCAGAGGGUAGAGUCUAAACAACAUUUUAAAAAGCAUUGCCCUGAGGCCAGGCAUGGUGACUCACACCUAUAAUCCCAGCACUUUGGGAGGCUGAGAUGAGUGCAUCACCUGAGUUCAGGAGCUCAAGACCAGCCUGGCCAACAUGGUGAAACACCAUCUCCACUAAAAGUACAAAAAUUAGUCAGGUGUGGUGGUGGAUGCCUGUUAUCCCAGCUACUUGGGAGGCUGAGGCAGAAGAAUCACUUGAACCUGGGAGAUGGAGGUUGCAGUGAGCCAAGAUUGCACCACUGCACUCCAGCCUGAGUGACAGAGUGAAACUGUCUCAAAACAAAAAACAAAAAACAAAAAAAAGCAUUGCCUUGAAAAUAACUGGUAACACCCCACCCCUGCAGAGUGGCUGGUGGGCAGUGUUUCCUACAGUAAGUAUUCCCAGUAAUAGAUACACUGCUAUUUGUUGAACACAAGCUAUAGAAAAAACACACUGCUAAAUGAUGACUACCAGGGGACAGGUUAUUAUAAUUAUGGCAAUUUAGAAAAGAUUCUCAUAAACUUACCUUGGCUUAAAAUGCAGAAAACAGUGAAAAGCCCUUUACUGUCCUUUUCUCAAUUCCUUUAUGUUGACUUUCACCCAGGACACCUGUCUACACUCCACGUUAAAAAUUUGGACUAUCUCAUCAAAGCCAACAAUCUGUUCUCCUUGAAUUUUUACCAACCAGUGAGUGAUAUUUCAUUCUCUCUUUGCAUUAUCACCAGAGAGAAUUUGUGAAAAUUUACAUAAUUUGAAUUGAAAGACAGCUAGUCCUCAUGUGCAAUGAGGAAACAGUUGCCUGGAGGUCUGGGACCCUGGGAAAACAUCCAGUGCUCUUUUCCUCUGUUAAACUUUCUUCUUCUCUCUUUUUAAUAUUAAAUGUUUGUGAAAUGUCCCAAAAUCUUACGUGAGAAGCCAUCCUGUCAAAAGGAAUUAUAUUGUCAGUUCUUUCUGGUUGCAAGGCAUAGAGACUUUAUCUGAUUUCAGGUGACGACUUGUCAUUUAAAAGAAAAAGAACAGAAAAUAGAGGAAUCAAGAAAGUAUAUCAGCAACUAAGCAGCCACUACUCAAGAGAAGAAAGAACAAUGGCUUCUUAUCAGUCAGAACACAGCACCAGCAUUAACGAUCCAUCAGGAACUCUGGGGACCAGACAUCUUUUUGUGCCCUCAGAAUUGGACAUCUGUCACUCCCUAUGUAUGACUGCCACACUGUGACUUUGUUUCUUUUAUAUCUGGUUUGCCCAUCUGCUGCCUCUGAAAGAUGGUUUCACUAUACACUAGUUCCCCCUUAUCUGUGGGGGAUACAUUCCAAGACCCCCAGUGGAUGCCUGAAACCACAGAUAGUACUGAACCCUACAUACAUUCUGUUGGUUUUUUUUUUAAUCCGGUAACCAAGAGAGCUACUUUGUCACUGGCAGGCAGGUAUCAUAGACUGUGAAUAUGCUAGACAAAAGGAUGACUCACAUCCCAGGCGGGAAGCAGCAGGACAGUGUGGGAUUUCAUUCUACUACUCAGAACAGCACAUAAUUUAAAAUCUAUGUAUUGUUUAUUUCUGGAAUUUUCCAUUUUAUAUUUUCAGACUGCAGUGGUCAUGGGUAACUGACACCUUGGAAAGCAAAACCGUGGAUAAAGGGAGAAUACUGUAUAUAGAAUUCUAGGUUGAUAGUGUUUAUUUUCUCUUAGCACUUUAAAGUUAUCAUUUCAUUGUCUUCUGACUUGCAUCAUUUCUGAUGGAAUGUCAGUCGUCAGUCUCAUUAUUGACACCACAUUCUUUGAUUGUUUUUACUCUUUUUUCAAACUCUGACUUAAUUGGAUAAUUUCUAUUGACCUGUGUUUAGGUUUGCUAAUGCUUUCUUUUGAAAAUUCAAACUGCUGUUAAUGUCAUCCAGUGAAUGUUUUAUCACAGACAUUGCAUUUUAUCAUCCUAGAGUUUCCAUUUUGUCUUUUUUUAGAGUUCUCUUUUCUCUUCUGACAUACCCCUAUCUCUUACCCAUUAGAUCCACAUUUUCCUAUAAAUUUGUUUAAAAUGUGUAUGAUAAUUGCUUAAAUAUUCUUGCUGCUAGUUCCAAUAACUGGGUUUAACUAUGGACCUGCUUCUAUUGACUAUGCGUUCUUUUGGUUAUUGGUGAGUAUGUCUUGUAUCUCUGCAUGCCUCAAUUUUUUUAUUGUAUCUAAGAUAUGCAUAUAAAAAUACAAUGAAGAUUGAAGUAAAUAAUGUUUUGAUGUUUUUGCCCCAGAGAAUACAAGCUCUUUCCCUCUGUCUAACAAGGAGAAGGGCUAAUUAUUCAGAUUCCUUUUAGAGUCAAAUUGGCUGAAUUUUUAAUUAAAUUGAGAUUUCCUAUGCUUAGACCAACCCUCACUCUCAUACUACUGCUAUCUUUUAGAUAUUAUCAAUAUUUGAGUAGAUGAGCUUCCGUUUUAGCUAUUUUUAACUUACUUUGGAUUCCCAGUUACAUGAGAGGCUGAGGUUGGAGGAUCACUUGAGCCCAGGAGGUUGAGGCUACAGUGAGCUGUGAUUGUGCCACUGCACUCCAGCCCGGGCAACAGAAUGAGACCCUGUCCUCCAAAAAAAAGGUCAAGGACCAUGUGAUUUUCAUAAAUAAAAAGAGGAGGUUAUUACUAUGUUAUGGAAUAGGACAUUUAGCAAAGUUUAUUACUCACUGAUUUGUAUUCAUGGCAGACCACAUCACAUUCCCUUUGAAUAUUCUUGGAAUCCAAGCACUGUGGAAGUACAUGGGUCUUUGUAGUUUUGCCCUGCAUCUUUGCCCUUUCUUCAUGGAUACUUUUUUGUCAGUUUGAGGUGGUGGUGGUGAUGUGAAAGUGAUUGGCCUAAUUUGUUUUUGCAGUUGGGAUACUCCUAUAUUGCAAUCCAUGCAUCCAGGCUGCACUAUCAUGUAUAGCUCAGCUGAUUUUUUCUCCUCCUUCCAAAUUUCUGUCUAGGCCAAACUUGCCAUGCCUAGGUCAGAAACUGUUGUUGGAAAUGGAAGCUGUCCUGGCUUUCUCUUUGCCAAUGAAGGACUCAUUUUUCCAAAAUUCAGUUCAUUAAGUCUUCUUUUGACUCCUGAUCUUUGUUAGCCCCAUGGGAAAGUAUGAUUUUUAUUUUCUCUGAGUUUUUCUUGACAUUACCAUGGGAACAAAAUGCUUUCAUGCUCUUAUGAAGUGAAAGUCUGAACCAAACAUUUAAACUUAAAAAAAAAAAAAACCCACAUAAAAUCACUAGAAGAAAAUAUGGGAGAUUUAAAAAAAAAUCUUGGGACAAAAAAAGUCAUUUCAGAGCAAUACACAAACCUCAGAAGCUAUAAAAAAAUUAAUCAACCUCUAUCUUUUUCUCCCUUUCUCUCUCUCUGUAUAUAUAUGUUAUAUAUAUAUCUAUAUAUAUAUUUAUCUUAAAUUUGGCGAGGCACGGUGACUCAUACCUGUAAUCCCAGCACUUUGGGAGGCCAAAGUGGGUGGAUCACUUGAGGUCAAGAGUUUGAGACCAGCCUGGCCAACAUGAUAAAAAUACAAAAAUUAGCUGGGCAUGGUGACAUACACCUGUAGUCCCAGUUACUCUGGAAGCUGAGGCAGGAGAAUCGCUUGAACCAGAAGGUGGAGGUUGCAGUGAGCCGAGAUUGUGCCACUGCACUCUAGCCUCGGCAACACAGUGAGACCCCAUUUCAAAA
Molecule: long non-coding RNA, 20611 nt
Filed under: Homo sapiens (human)
Lineage: Eukaryota; Metazoa; Chordata; Mammalia; Primates; Hominidae
Description: HSALNT0356219
Source: RNAcentral